UUUCCUCCUCUUCAGCCUGUCUGGGCAUGGAGCCAGGGCUGGGGCUGGGAGGCAUACUAGGACAUUUCUCCGUGUUUGGAAGCAGAUAAGAAGGCCCCGGCUGUGGUGAGAUCGGGCGAGACACAACACUCGGCCUUCACAGGCCUCUUCCUUCAUGGACUUUUUAAGGCCUUGCUGUAUAAGGCCAAGGUCACUCUGGGACUUCAAGACACCGAACCACCACAAGAAGGUUCGGCCUCAACACAGGGGAGCAGCCAUGGUCUGUUCUCAGAACCGGUGGCGGAGCAGCUCUUCAUCCCAGCUCCACAGCUCUUCAUGGACGUCAUCCAGAAGCAAUGGGUUAACUUGGCUUCCCUUCCCACCCCAAGUGGAGUGGACUGACGUAACUUCACUCUGGCACCGGCCUUCGCCAACCUCUUGCAGUCCUCCUACUUACUGUUCUACAUGACACCAAUCUCCUCUCAAAGCUCAUACCCAUGCUCACGUGCUAAAGCUGUUUUAUAGUUGGUGUAUAGAUAUUCUUAUUCCCAUAAAAUCCUGGAGAGGGAGAAAAGAAAAAAGGGAAAGUAGAGGUCAUCCUGCAUGCUCUUUCCACAUAUAUUCUGAGUAAAAUAAUUUGCUGUAAUUGGAAUACCUAUUGCUAAUACUGACUCAAAUCAGGAAGACCUACAUUCUCUUCAAAAUACUCCUGGGACAAUGCCUAGAAGCACUGCAGCACAGUCAUAACAAUUUUUUUGUAGCAUUGGCACAAAUAGCUAUGAAGAGCAUAGCAUUUUUAUGUAGGAAGACUUUUGACAGUGGGGGGAGUCACAUCCACUUGCUUCUUUGGAACACCCUCAAGCCUAGAGAUAUUAAGAAAUGUUACUCCUUUAAAGGAGUUUACAAGUGACUCGUGGGAGGGAAUGUUCUAUAACUUUGGAUUAUCUACCGAAUCAAAACAAAGGACAAACCAGAGAACCUUUUAAGUGUAACUAAUGCAGCACAGUGUAUAUAUUUCAAUAACUUUGGGAAUCGUAAACACCCAAUGCCCUCACAUUCUCCUGUUUUUACUUGUGAAAAGAUUUCCAAUGUCUCCUAUGUCCCCCCUAUUUAUUUUUACCUUAAAGGUUUAUUUUUGUUACGUGGGAAGGAGACUCAUAUUUAUAUCCCAGCCCAUAGUUUGUGGGGGGGCUUGUGCCAUUGGACACUUGACCUCUCUAUAUGCCCUGCCUUCCAUGCAAAUAAGUCCAUCAACUAUCUUUCUAUUGUGAGAGCAAAAUGACACUUAUCUAAAACAGAAGUCAUGUCUCUAACUCUCAGUAGAGUUAGAGACAUGUCCUGGCCAAAAUAGCUUACAUGGAUCUAAAAAAAGUGACAAACAUCCAAGGUAAAAGUGUCAACCUCACAUCCCCCCUCAUUGUUGCUCUAACAGAAGAAAUGACAGACAUCAGGACUACAGUCAUUCAAAAUUGUGUGGCUAUUGAUUAUUUACUAUUAAGGUGAAUCAGGGUUGUAAAUAUUUUAACGGUCAUUGCAACAAUAAGAAUUAUAUUGAAGCAAAACUAGCCAAGCUUAAGACUCUAGAUGUGGUCUUGGCUCACAUCUUGGUUACCUAAUUUGGAAUCCUGGGGAAGGAAAAUUGUCCAUUUUUUUCUCUUUGUAUUCUUUGCCUUUGUAUUAAUCUCCUUGGUCUUUCAAUGUGUUAAUUUGUUUUCCUAAAAUAUUGUACCUCCCUGCCAACUAGAUAGCAAACCUAUUGGCAAUAAUACAUACAAAAACCUGUAAUGCUCUGAGUGGGUGAUGAGUGAGCCCCAUUUGUGGCAUCUCCUUUUUAGCUCUAUGGCAGGGGAAGGAAUGUGUGAGACUAGGCCAAAGCCACCACAUCUAAAAGUGGCAAAGUCAUGUAAACAGGGUAGACAAAGCCAGGAAAAGUUCCCUCAGGAAAAGUACCAAGCUGAUAAGGAAACAAAAGAAAAAAAGUUGGACCUGAGCACAUGGCAAGCCCCUCUCCAAGUGUUACCUACAAAGGAAGCUACUUCCCACCAAUUCUAGGGAAUAAAAAGAGGUCCUGAAGCCUGUCCAGUCUUUUGAGUCAUUUUUUGAUCCCAGACUUGGUAGCUUCCGUUCCUCUGGCUAGUGCCUGACAGCCUAGUAGUGGAUGCUGGGUAAGUCUGGAUGAAUGUGUAUGUGUGUGAGAGAGAAAAUAUAUCAAUAAAAGUUUGCUGUUAUUUUAAAUUUACUGGGUCUCUGUAUAUUUUAAAGAACCGAUUGUGCCUCAGUGUUCAAUUGACUUGGGACUGAGUGUGGUGGUUUUACAGGCCUGUGGGUGAGUGACCAUAAGCUGAAUCUGAGAGCAGACUUGUCUAACACUCCCCAAAUUGUGAAAGCACAUGCUGUACUCACACAAUUUUUGAAAGUACAGCUCUUUAGCAUGGCUUUCCGAGAGUACAAGAGCAUAGCCCAUUCAUGCAUGACCUCCACAGCCUCUAGAAAUCAUGUGAGAACAGGGAAUACUUUUGAGAACAGUUGUCAGAUGUUGGUGAACUCUGGUGUGUCACCCAAAACAUGACAUCUCACUUUUGACCCACAUGACAGAUUUGGCAUCAUUGUUUUAAACAAUAUUCCUACAACAUAAUCAUUUACCAGCACACAAUUGUUACUCACAGGUGAAAAAAGUAAAUAAGUUAACCUAUUCUUAUUAACUAUUUUUUUUCAUAAAGAUGUUCAGAAUUAAUGUAAUAUACAGAAUGGACAGAAAAUUUUCCCUCAGUCAAAUUUGUUUUGUUUUUAUUUACCUAUGCCACAGUGUCAUCAUUUCUAUUAUAUAACCUUGAUUUCUGAGGUCAUCAGAUAAUAGAAGCAGAUAAGAAGAUAUAAAAGAUCAUGAAAUAAAAUAUGGUGUACAGAAAUCAUUAUCCUGUUUUAUUAAUAUUUAUUUGAUAGUAUUCAUCUAAGAGUUUUUAGAAUAAGACAGGUAAUAUACUUAAUAUGAAUUUUGCUUAAAUAACUCCUCCAAAGUUCUAUUAUUAAUAAAACAGAAGUACAGAAUCUUUUUGAAUAGUUUAUGAUGCAAUUGUAAUAAAGCCAUUAAUAUGUCAAAAUAAACAUUCAAUCAAGCUGUUAUCAUUACAGUAGAAGCAUAAUUCUGUUAACAGUCUGAAUAUUUAUUUUAAAGUUUUAAUAUUCUUCUUAAUUGCUUCAUUUCCCCUGGAUCAAUCAUUAUUUACUCAAUGACCUUGUAGGAAGAUCAAAUACCACAUGUAUUAUGAAUGAUGAACUUUUUUAAACCAAAAUGUUCUAAAUGCUUAUUGAUAUAAAAUAUUUUUUGAUUUGACAAGCUAGCAUAAAGAUAUCUAUUAAAUAUUAAAGUCAUAAUUUGCCAAUAUUUGAUAUCUUUAUUUAUUAUUUUAUUGGUUUUUAAAAUAAUGACAAAAACCAGGAAAAAACAAAGCAAAAGUUAAUGUAUUGUCAGCUAAAAAAAGACACAUGGAAUUUGUGUUCCACUGAAUUAGGUCACAUAAUUCUCCUUAUGUUGUCUUAAUAGCACAAGCCAAGAGGUCCAUACAGAUAAGGACACCCUUGACUUGUUCCUCUAAAUAAUGGGGAACAUAGGAUAAAACAUGCCAUUAACCUUCACUUUAGAUUUGGAUGACACAUACAGUAUCUUAAUCCAUUUUAUGAAUUCCAAAGACAAUCCAAAUCUAUUGAGUAUACCAAACAUGUACUAUUUAUGCAUAAUAAUCGUGUCAACACGUGGAAAAUGUUCAGAAAAUGUGAAAUCCCAAAACAACUCAUUAUUUUAAUGAGAAACUCACAUACGGGUCAAAAAAAAUCAUAGUAGAAAAAGAGCAUACAGAUUGGCUCCAGGUUGGCAGACUAACAAGACUACAUUCUCUCUCUUUAGUCAUUGAGCCCGUAUGCUCAAUGUAUAUUAAGGAAAACCUGAUAGCCAAAAGUACAAAGGAUCUGUAAGCUUUUCCUAUGAAAAAUCAAAGAGCACAAUGAAAACAUGAGACUAAAGCAGCCUUAGAACUGACAAUGAAGAUACUGAAGUGGCGGAUCGCUUCUCUUUUAGAGUCUCAAUCAUCAACAGUAAAGAAACAAGCAGUCAAAUUAUGUACUGCAAAUUAGCACUUAGUAGAGCAGCAAUGAAGGCCUUGGAAAAGAUAAUCAAAUGCCAUUUGAUACUUUCAAAAUCAUAAUCAUGCAAUCCAUGGUAAUCCUUAGAUGGAAAAGUUUUACUCCCUAUGAAGUGAAAUUUGAGCUUUAAAGUAGAAGGAUAGGAAGGGUAUUGACAAGUUUGAACUUGGUGUUGGAGAAGACUCCUGAGAAUACCAUGGACAGCUGGAGUGGGUGAACAAUGCAUCAUUUAGUAAAUCAUUCCAGAGUUCUUGAGGCAGAAAUGACCAGGCUCAAAUUAUCCUAUUUCAGAAAUAUUAUGUAAAAAGCCAUUUCUGGAAAAGGCAUUAAUACUUGAAAAGGUGAAUACUUGAAAAGAAAACCCUAACCUGCCUGAUUCUCAUCUCUAGUAUUUUAUAGGUUUUAUGAUGUGUUCUGAAAUGCAGCUGAGCUAAUUUGAUAUUCAGAAUUUACAACCAUCUUACUAAUAGUUCUUUCAGCUUGUAUAUAAUCCAAAAGGAGUAAUUCAAAUAAUAUCCCAUAGCGAGUGAAAUUUGAAUUGGUUAAACUGCAGCUAGGAAGUUUAAAUAAAGAUUGACUAGAGUAAAAGCCAAGAUUGAUUAACCCUCUUUUAUUGAUCUUGAUAUCAAUCUAAAGUUGAUUUGAGGUUGAUAAAACAACAAAUAGCUUAUCAGUUAAUACAGCUGCAUUGUUCAAUAAAGUGAUGUAAGAUUAAAACAUGUAUUAGUUAGAUGAAAACCAUCUUACGCUUCAUCAAGGAUUGACUCAUUCUCUAUCCACUUUUGUAAUUUCCAGUUCCAGUUUCCAAUUCAAAUGACUGUUUUUUAAUGAUACUUUGCUGGUGAUACUUAGCUGACUUAUGAGAUACUUGCUGCAUCAUUUCUAUCCUCCCCCCCUUUUUUUAAAGGUUGUUCUCCAACCCUGGUACGAUUUGUAUUAUCUACAGAAUAUAAGAAAGGGAGAUUUCAAAAUGGAAUAUAAGCUAGCUCAAAUUAAACCUUACCAAGGUAGAAUUCCUAAUCAAUAAACAACUGGUAUAAUUAUUCUGAUUGAGAUUAAGUCCCUGCCAAAACAAUUUCAAAAUUUCUGAGGUCAAAGCUUCCUAGACUUAAUGAUGAUAAACCACCAAAUCCAGAGGUCCCUUCUAUUCACAGCUACUCCAUUUUGUUUGGUUUCAGCUUAA
This is a long non-coding RNA of Ahaetulla prasina, 5302 nucleotides long. RefSeq lists it as uncharacterized. Lineage: Eukaryota; Metazoa; Chordata; Lepidosauria; Squamata; Colubridae. The transcript has 3 exons. The record is from RefSeq and is a predicted model, not a curated record.